This 32-nucleotide non-coding RNA is filed under the name Mus musculus (house mouse). Lineage: Eukaryota; Metazoa; Chordata; Mammalia; Rodentia; Muridae. The record is from RNAcentral.
UGAAAUAGAGGUUCCUGCAAAGUACCAGGUGU